Vigna angularis (adzuki bean) is the source of this 368-nucleotide long non-coding RNA. RefSeq lists it as uncharacterized. NCBI's taxonomy places the organism in Eukaryota, Viridiplantae, Streptophyta, Magnoliopsida, Fabales, Fabaceae. The transcript is spliced from 2 exons. The record is from RefSeq and is a predicted model, not a curated record.
UUUGAAAAAGGAUUGAUAUACAAAAGAUAAGAUGAAAACGAAGGGAGUUUGGGUGAUUAUGAUGAUUAUGUUUGUUUUGAUAGUAAGUGAUUACAAUGUUUUGUCUGUGCAAAUUGAGUCAAAAGAUGUGUCUGAUGCACUCGGUUGCAGUGGCAAAUGUACAUUGGAAUGUUCUCCUUUAGCAGUGUUUCCUACUUUAUAUUUAAUAUGUGCAAGAGAUUGCUGCAGAAAAUGCUGCAAAAAACAAAAUAAUGUGGUAGAAUGCACAUCACAUUGCCCUAAUAUCAGUACUGGAAUGUGAGAAGAAGAAAAGAUUUUUGUGCUUGCUGUAAUGGAAAAACUUUAGUCAAUAAAUAACUGUUCGUCAA